UUACGGUCACAUCUUGUUGAAACACCGUUACCCGUACUAUCACCAAAGUUAAGCAUCGUCGAGCCUGGUUAGUAACUAGAUAGGUGACCACUUGGGAAUAGCAAGCGCUGUAA
Molecule: non-coding RNA, 113 nt
Organism: Acanthosepion pharaonis
Lineage: Eukaryota; Metazoa; Mollusca; Cephalopoda; Sepiida; Sepiidae
Source: the annotation of a GenBank genome assembly